This 763-nucleotide ribosomal RNA is filed under the name uncultured microorganism. RNAcentral's name for it is "bacterial SSU rRNA". It matches the Rfam family "Bacterial small subunit ribosomal RNA", at positions 57 to 831 of the family's 1533-position model. The record is from RNAcentral.
GCAAGUCGAACGGAAAGGCCCUGCUUUUGUGGGGUGCUCGAGUGGCGAACGGGUGAGUAACACGUGAGUAACCUGCCCUUGACUUUGGGAUAACUUCAGGAAACUGGGGCUAAUACCGGAUAGGAGCUCCUGCUGCAUGGUGGGGGUUGGAAAGUUUCGGCGGUUGGGGAUGGACUCGCGGCUUAUCAGCUUGUUGGUGGGGUAGUGGCUUACCAAGGCUUUGACGGGUAGCCGGCCUGAGAGGGUGACCGGCCACAUUGGGACUGAGAUACGGCCCAGACUCCUACGGGAGGCAGCAGUGGGGAAUAUUGCACAAUGGGCGGAAGCCUGAUGCAGCAACGCCGCGUGCGGGAUGACGGCCUUCGGGUUGUAAACCGCUUUCGCCUGUGACGAAGCGUGAGUGACGGUAAUGGGUAAAGAAGCACCGGCUAACUACGUGCCAGCAGCCGCGGUGAUACGUAGGGUGCGAGCGUUGUCCGGAUUUAUUGGGCGUAAAGGGCUCGUAGGUGGUUGAUCGCGUCGGAAGUGUAAUCUUGGGGCUUAACCCUGAGCGUGCUUUCGAUACGGGUUGACUUGAGGAAGGUAGGGGAGAAUGGAAUUCCUGGUGGAGCGGUGGAAUGCGCAGAUAUCAGGAGGAACACCAGUGGCGAAGGCGGUUCUCUGGGCCUUUCCUGACGCUGAGGAGCGAAAGCGUGGGGAGCGAACAGGCUUAGAUACCCUGGUAGUCCACGCUGUAAACGGUGGGUACUAGGUGUGGGGUCCA